This 305-nucleotide ribosomal RNA is filed under the name uncultured bacterium. RNAcentral's name for it is "bacterial SSU rRNA". It matches the Rfam family "Bacterial small subunit ribosomal RNA", at positions 337 to 634 of the family's 1533-position model. The record is from RNAcentral.
CCCUACGGGGGGCAGCAGUAGGGAAUCUUCCACAAUGGGCGAAAGCCUGAUGGAGCAACGCCGCGUGGGUGAAGAAGGUCUUCGGGUCGUAAAACCCUGUUGUUAGAGAAGAAAGUGCGUGAGAGUAACUGUUCACGUUUCGACGGUAUCUAACCAGAAAGCCACGGCUAACUACGUGCCAGCAGCCGCGGUAAUACGUAGGUGGCAAGCGUUAUCCGGAUUUAUUGGGCGUAAAGGGAACGCAGGCGGUCUUUUAAGUCUGAUGUGAACGCCUUCGGCUUAAACGGAGUAGUGCAUUGGAAACU